CGGCAGCAGCAGCGUCUGCUGCGUUGCGAUCUAAACCUCUGAAAUAUACCGGUGAGGAUGGCAAUAUCAUUGUGGAGGAUGAGUUUCUGAACUUUCUAGUCAUUAAAAUGAAAACGAUGGGACAGGAUGAACUGAUAUUGUUGACUACAAGCCAUUUCUCGUCUGAGAGGAUUGCAAGUUCAAGAAAAGUCCUGUUUGAACUAUGUCCAGAAACCACUCAGCGCUACAUUCAGCACAGGGGGGAUCAAAAGGACGUGAACAAUGUCAAGAGUUGCAUUGGGCUACUUAAUGAGCUGGGAGACAAAGUACCUCGUUUUGUUUCAUACCAUCUAGACGAACUCCCACCUGUGUCUUUCAAUAGCAUUGACGUCUCAUGUUUGCUUGCUAAGAUUGAGAAGCUAAGUGCUGAUGUUGCUAUUAUGAAGCAGGGUAUGACCAUGCAGGUUAAAGUUUCUGAUGAACUCCGCUCUAUGGCAGUGGAUCUAAAUCAGCGGCUGUGUGUGGCUGAGCCAGCUCUGGUGAGAGGCAUCAAGGCUGUGUCCUCGCAGUCUCAUAAAGAGGCUAAUCUGGGAAAGGACAAUGGAAGAGGAGCAGGGGCUCAGCCCAAAUCCCCGGCUCAACGUAGACGACAGACAAGCUGGAAUACACUGGCCAGGGAGGAGUGCUCUCAGCCUGGGCUUGGAGCUGUGAAAGCCAACGGUUCAAUGGAGGGGGGCGGUGCCGCUGCUGUGGCUUUGUCGCCGGCAUGGAACAUAGUGGCUAAGCGGGGGCUACAGGCUGCUGGAGGUGGAGUACCGGCGUUGCGGCCCAAAACAAGGCAGGAGCCUAGGCGAGACAAGAAAAUAGUUGUCGGGACUGGCCCUGGAUGUCACAUCAGGACGGUAAAGACAAAGUUGGUGAGUGUAUUUGCAACGAAAUUCUCGCCUGAGCUGGAUGUAAAUAUUCUGACAGCGUAUCUGAAAGACAAACUCUGUCAUGAUGUAACAUGUGUGAAGAUUGACACUGCGCAAAGCAGGUACAGCUCCUUCAAAGUUACUGCGGAGUGUAAUGAAGUGAAUGACAUGUACGAUCCUGGCCUUUGGCCAGACGGUGCUUUGGUGCGGCGCUUCUAUGAGGCACGCAAGCCCAGGAGCACAACUG
This 1140-nucleotide long non-coding RNA is filed under the name Gadus morhua (Atlantic cod). RNAcentral's name for it is "lncRNA (ENSGMOG00000035515.1)". The record is from RNAcentral. Lineage: Eukaryota; Metazoa; Chordata; Actinopteri; Gadiformes; Gadidae.